GGGCGAUUAGCUCAGCGGUUUAGAGCGUCCGCCUCACACGCGGAAGGCCACUGGUUCAAAUCCAGUAUCGCCCACCA
This 77-nucleotide transfer RNA is filed under the name Candidatus Latescibacterota bacterium. Its description in RNAcentral is "Candidatus Latescibacteria bacterium tRNA-Val". It matches the Rfam family "tRNA". Rfam says of the family: Transfer RNA (tRNA) molecules are approximately 80 nucleotides in length. Lineage: Bacteria; Pseudomonadati; Candidatus Latescibacterota. The record is from RNAcentral. RNAcentral also lists the same sequence under 1 other name.